CCCUCCACUCCUGCUCCAGCGGCACAAUGUGAUCCACCAGCAAGGAGGGACGCCAAUAAGGCAUCCGAUAAGUCUUAUAAAAUAUAUAGAUUUAUGAUAAUUAAGACUGAGCUAAAAGAUGAGGAAUCCUAGUCAUUGAUCAAGCAGCUUUGAACAUUAGUGGUCAAACAUGCAAAUCUACUUUUAAUCAAUAACAAGAAAGGAUCCUAUAUUCAAUGCAGGAAUCACAAGGCUGUUGAUUGAGUGUCUUUGAAACAUACUGCAGUCAAGCAAUUCCAUUGUCCUUCUGUGCAUUGUGAUUAUUCCAGCAAAGCCUUUCAAGUCCCUGCGCCAGUCAGAACAUCCCCCACCAGCAGAACUCUACACUGAACCACCACCAGUAAAAGUUCUAGCCAUGACAUUAGAUCAUUUUACCAGAGACCCUUCUACAACCCAGGAUGGGGUCCUCAUCUCCAGUAUCAUUCCUAGAACCUUCAAGUACCAUGAAAACUAGCCAGUAGUGAUGAAGCUUCCAGAUGAAUACCAGCUUGAUUUCUUCAGUUUCUAUGCUCAAGCAAAUGGAUGGCACUAGAAGAAACUAUCCUGAGUGAGGUAACCCA
This 599-nucleotide long non-coding RNA is filed under the name Cricetulus griseus (Chinese hamster). RNAcentral's name for it is "lncRNA (ENSCGRG00015032003.1)". The record is from RNAcentral. Lineage: Eukaryota; Metazoa; Chordata; Mammalia; Rodentia; Cricetidae.